This 1681-nucleotide long non-coding RNA is filed under the name Nicotiana tabacum (common tobacco). RNAcentral's name for it is "long non-coding RNA (NTAB_LNC002968)". The record is from RNAcentral. Lineage: Eukaryota; Viridiplantae; Streptophyta; Magnoliopsida; Solanales; Solanaceae.
AUACCUAAUGCCUGCUAUUUCAUUACAUCUAUCUUGAAAAGCAAUAAUUAAAUUACAAGAACAUGAUCAAACAAAAUCUCAAUAAUCAAGUAUGACAAACAAAACUAGAGAAACAUGUUCUGGUGGUAAGAAUACCAAGAUUGUCACAAUACAAAUCAGAUUCUAUAACAGAAAACCUUAUUUAAAAGGACUUUAUCUGCUCUACAAGCAAGAAUUUCGAGCAGCAAACAAGUGGUCCUAGGUCAUAGUUCACCAAUAUGAAAGCAGCGCAGCUGUAGCACUAGACAUAUCCCUAUCAUCCACUGGGUUAAAACGUUAAUAAUACAAGUGAAAAAAAACUACCUGACAUAGCAAAAAGAGGAGGACAAACUGUCAUGUUACAAAAGCUGGAUUCAGUCUUCACAAGCAAAUGUCACAUGUUAUAACAUCAUGUCUCAACUUUUGAGGCAACCCCUUUGUUUGCAUACUGGCAGAGAAAGGCAAACAAAUACUAACUGAAAGUGUUUUUUGUUUCAAAAAAGGUUGAAAAGCUUUUGCACUAAAAAGUUUUUCAAAUUUUCCUAAAAGUGAAUCACUUCUUUCUAAUAGAGUUGGCCUUUUCCUACUUUGGUGACUCGAAUCCACAAUCUUAUGGUUGGAGGUGGAGGAUCUUUAUAAUUCAUUUGUCCCUCCCUGUUGAGAAUGCAAAUCUAAACAGUCAUUGUUAGGCAAGUAAACAAGAAAAGGAAGAAAGCACAGAGAUAAGAACAGUGGUCUGACAAAUCUUUGGCUUUAAUAUAGCCCAAGAAUUGAUACAUUGAAACUACAUUAGUUCGAGGUGAGUGCUUAAGUAUAAUAUGAGUAAUAUAAGUUCCCAUAUAGCAGUAGAUACUCUAGGAUAUUUUAAGAAUGAGACGGUUGAACUAUCAGUUUGAUAAAAACAUAAAGAGAAGCCAACACCGACAUCAAAUGCUUAAGCACUUUAGAUCAGAACUGCUUUUAUGCGCUGGAAAAUAGCUGACUUUUUCAGAGUCAUUGGCCAUAAAUUUAGACAGAGCCAAUAAGUUUAAAACCUACAGAAGGAAAAUAAACACAGUUCGCCUCAAAAUUGACUGUUACUUUGUACAAGUUCAACACCGGAAAGAUUCAUUGAAGCAUUAAGCAGAAGCCAAAAACAGCAUCAAGGAAAACAUGGGAUGCUAAAAAAUUUCAACAAGCAGAAAAGAAUACCAAUGUAAUAGAGAAAAAGAGAAAGAAAUAAAAUUACAUCAAACCAAACUAAUCAAAUAUUAAGAAACAAUAUUGAAAUCAAAAAGCACAAGAAAUAAACCAAUAUUGAAAGCGUAAUUCUAACAACACCUAGGUGAAGAAAAAGAAUGAGAUUAACAUACCUCUCAGAAUAAUCAGAAGACAUGCAACAACAAUCUCCCUUUUUUAAGAACCUCUACAAUCAAGAAUCGCGUUUGUUUCACGAAACCUAGCUUCGUUUGGACAGCUUCUUCGACUCGACCAUAAAAUUGAUUUUCAAAUUUGGGUAUUUUGGUCUAUCUUUGAGAUGAAUCUAUAGGGAAACGGAGGAUUUUAAGAUGAAUCUAUUUCUGAAUUUGGAUUUUAGGAGUUAAAGAGAGGAUUUUGAGGAAUGAAUUUUGAGAGGAAAAAAUGGUGGAAAUGGGUCUCGUUCUGAAAAUCGAGUGCAGGUGAG